RNAcentral lists this ribosomal RNA (466 nucleotides) under uncultured bacterium. RNAcentral's name for it is "partial 16S ribosomal RNA". It matches the Rfam family "Bacterial small subunit ribosomal RNA", at positions 28 to 507 of the family's 1533-position model. The record is from RNAcentral.
GAUGAACGCUGGCGGCGUGCUUAACACAUGCAAGUCGAACGAUGAAGCCCAGCUUGCUGGGUGGAUUAGUGGCGAACGGGUGAGUAACACGUGAGUAACCUGCCCUUAACUCUGGGAUAAGCCUGGGAAACUGGGUCUAAUACCGGAUAGGAGCGCCUACCGCAUGGUGGGUGUUGGAAAGAUUUAUCGGUUUUGGAUGGACUCGCGGCCUAUCAGCUUGUUGGUGAGGUAAUGGCUCACCAAGGCGACGACGGGUAGCCGGCCUGAGAGGGUGACCGGCCACACUGGGACUGAGACACGGCCCAGACUCCUACGGGAGGCAGCAGUGGGGAAUAUUGCACAAUGGGCGAAAGCCUGAUGCAGCGACGCCGCGUGAGGGAUGACGGCCUUCGGGUUGUAAACCUCUUUCAGUAGGGAAGAAGCGAAAGUGGCGGUACCUGCAGAAGAAGCACCGGCUAACUACGUG